AUUGAACGCUGGCGGCAGGCCUAAUACAUGCAAGUCGAGCGGAGCGGCUGACGGGCGAGUAAUGCCUAUGAAUCUACUUGGCAGUGUGGUGUAACGUCCGGAAACGGGAUGCAAUCUCGUACUUUAUCAGAUGAGUCAAGGUCGGAUGAGAGAGUUGGUGGGUUACAGGCCUACCUAGGCGACCAUGCGUAACUGGUCUGAGAGGAUGAUCAGUCACAGUGGGACUGGGAUGCGGUGCCGAAUCCUACGGGAGGCAGCGGUGGGAACUCUUGGACAAUGGGCGGAAGCCUGGUCCAGCCAUGGCGCGUGUGUGAGGAGGAUCUUCGGAUUGUAAAGGACUAUAAGUUGGGGGGCGUUACCAACAGAAUAAGCACCGGCUAACUUCGUGCUAGCCGCCGCGGUAAUAC
RNAcentral lists this ribosomal RNA (407 nucleotides) under uncultured bacterium. RNAcentral describes it as "partial 16S ribosomal RNA". It matches the Rfam family "Bacterial small subunit ribosomal RNA", at positions 30 to 526 of the family's 1533-position model. The record is from RNAcentral.